RNAcentral lists this small nuclear RNA (106 nucleotides) under Castor canadensis (American beaver). The record is from RNAcentral. Lineage: Eukaryota; Metazoa; Chordata; Mammalia; Rodentia; Castoridae.
AUGCUCAUUUCAGCAGCAUAUGUACUAAAAUUGGAAUAAGGUGAGAAGAUUAGCAUGGCCCCUGUGUAAGGAUGACACAUAAAUUCGUGAAGUGUUCCACAACAAA